This 274-nucleotide ribosomal RNA is filed under the name uncultured bacterium. RNAcentral's name for it is "partial 16S ribosomal RNA". It matches the Rfam family "Bacterial small subunit ribosomal RNA", at positions 84 to 354 of the family's 1533-position model. The record is from RNAcentral.
CCGGACGGCGACCGGCGCACGGGUGAGUAACACGUAUGCGACCUGCCCGUAGCAGGGGGAUAAGCGGAAGAAAUUCCGUCUAAUACCGCGUAAUAUCUUUCGGGGGCAUUCCUGAGGGAUUAAAGGAAGCGAUUCCGGCUACGGAUGGGCAUGCGGCGCAUUAGCUAGUCGGCGGGGUAACGGCCCACCGAGGCGACGAUGCGUAGGGGUUCUGAGAGGAAGGUCCCCCACACUGGUACUGAGACACGGACCAGACUCCUACGGGAGGCAGCAG